GUUUGAUCCUGGCUCAGGAUGAACGCUAGCUACAGGCUUAACACAUGCAAGUCGAGGGGCAGCAUGGUCUUAGCUUGCUAAGGCCGAUGGCGACCGGCGCACGGGUGAGUAACGCGUAUCCAACCUGCCUUACACUCUUGGACAGCCUUCUGAAAGGGAGAUUAAUACAAGAUGUUAUCAUGAGUAAGCAUUUUCGCAUGAUUAAAGGUUUACCGGUGUAAGAUGGGGAUGCGUUCCAUUAGAUAGUAGGCGGGGUAACGGCCCACCUAGUCUUCGAUGGAUAGGGGUUCUGAGAGGAAGGUCCCCCACAUUGGAACUGAGACACGGUCCAAACUCCUACGGGAGGCAGCAGUGAGGAAUAUUGGUCAAUGGACGAGAGUCUGAACCAGCCAAGUAGCGUGAAGGAUGAAGGUUCUAUGGAUUGUAAACUUCUUUUAUACGGGAAUAAACGAAUCCACGCGUGGAUUUUUGCAUGUACCGUAUGAAUAAGGAUCGGCUAACUCCGUGCCAGCAGCCGCGGUAAUACGGAGGAUCCGAGCGUUAUCCGGAUUUAUUGGGUUUAAAGGGAGCGUAGAUGGGUUGUUAAGUCAGUUGUGAAAGUUUGCGGCUCAACCGUAAAAUUGCAAUUGAUACUGGCAGUCUUGAGUACAGUUGAGGUAGGCGGAAUUCGUGGUGUAGCGGUGAAAUGCUUAGAUAUCACGAAGAACUCCGAUUGCGAAGGCAGCUUACUAACCUGUAACUGACAUUGAUGCUCGAAAGUGUGGGUAUCAAACAGGAUUAGAUACCCUGGUAGUCCACACGGUAAACGAUGAAUACUCGCUGUAGGCGAUAUACAGUCUGCGGCCAAGCGAAAGCAUUAAGUAUUCCACCUGGGGAGUACGCCGGCAACGGUGAAACUCAAAGGAAUUGACGGGGGCCCGCACAAGCGGAGGAACAUGUGGUUUAAUUCGAUGAUACGCGAGGAACCUUACCCGGGCUUAAAUUGCAACCGAAUAUGGCGGAAACGCUAUAGCUAGCAAUAGCGGUUGUGAAGGUGCUGCAUGGUUGUCGUCAGCUCGUGCCGUGAGGUGUCGGCUUAAGUGCCAUAACGAGCGCAACCCUUGCCGAUAGUUACUAACAGGUCAUGCUGAGGACUCUGUCGGGACUGCCAUCGUAAGAUGUGAGGAAGGUGGGGAUGACGUCAAAUCAGCACGGCCCUUACGUCCGGGGCUACACACGUGUUACAAUGGGGGGUACAGAGGGCUGCUACCACGCAAGUGGAUGCCAAUCCCAAAAACCUCUCUCAGUUCGGAUUGAAGUCUGCAACCCGACUUCAUGAAGCUGGAUUCGCUAGUAAUCGCGCAUCAGCCACGGCGCGGUGAAUACGUUCCCGGGCCUUGUACACACCGCCCGUCAAGCCAUGGGAGCCGGGGGUACCUGAAGUGCGUACCGCAGGAGCGCCCUAGGGUAAAACUGGUGACUGGGGCUAAGUCGUAACAAGGUAGCCGUACCGGAAGGUGCGGCUGGAACACCUCCUUUCU
RNAcentral lists this ribosomal RNA (1520 nucleotides) under Phocaeicola massiliensis. RNAcentral describes it as "Bacteroides massiliensis 16S ribosomal RNA". It matches the Rfam family "Bacterial small subunit ribosomal RNA". The record is from RNAcentral. Lineage: Bacteria; Pseudomonadati; Bacteroidota; Bacteroidia; Bacteroidales; Bacteroidaceae.